Oncorhynchus keta (chum salmon) is the source of this 460-nucleotide long non-coding RNA. RefSeq lists it as uncharacterized. The record is from RefSeq and is a predicted model, not a curated record. NCBI's taxonomy places the organism in Eukaryota, Metazoa, Chordata, Actinopteri, Salmoniformes, Salmonidae. The transcript is spliced from 3 exons.
AACGAAAUAAAAGUUGAAAGAAAACAAAAGAAAGUAUAUCAAUCCAGUUGCUUUCUGUUUGGCAAACUCCACCUCCUGUACUACAGAAACCCUGCUAACCCAACAACAGUACCAGGUGCCUGUACUACAGAAACCCUGCUAACCCAACAGUACUAGGUGCCUGUACUACAGAAACCCUGCUAACCCAACAACAGUACUAGGUGCCUGUACUACAGAAACCCUGCUAACCCAACAACAGUACUAGGUGCCUGUACUACAGAAACCCUGUUAACCCAACAACAGUACUAGGUGCCUGUACUACAGAAACCCUGCUAACCCAACAACAGUACUAGGUGCCUGUACUACAGAAACCCUGCUAACCCAACAACAGUACUAGGUGCCUGUACUACAGAAACCCUGCUAACCCAACAACAGUACUAGGUGCCUGUACUACAGAAACCCUGCUAACCCAACAACAGUA